RNAcentral lists this long non-coding RNA (2313 nucleotides) under Triticum aestivum (bread wheat). Its description in RNAcentral is "long non-coding RNA (TAES_LNC014712)". Lineage: Eukaryota; Viridiplantae; Streptophyta; Magnoliopsida; Poales; Poaceae. The record is from RNAcentral.
GUGCUACUGUUGAAACUUGAAACUGGAGCGAGUUAUUUGGGGUGGCUCAACAUGUCAUAGCAAUAUGGUGCCUAGAGCACCUUAUCUUCUUAUGUCUUAUUAUUUGGCACAAACCAAACUUUAUUAUAUUAAGUAUUCACGUUUCUAAAGACAAAUUGUUUCGUAUUCUGCUUCCGUGGGUUUCAUUGUAUAUGCUUGCCGUGUAUGUUAAAAAUUCAGUUAAAAAUAGCAAAUUCAGGCACAAGUCAUGUUUUGAAUCUGGCAACGUGCAAUUUGAAUUAUUGUCGUCCUCUUUAUCUCUUCUAGAUUUUUUUUUGCGGAAAUCUCUUCUAGAUUUUAGAUUCAUCAACCAGGGUAUCAUUUCCAACCAUCAAUGUCCUAGCAGGAGAUCACUUCCUUUUUUUGCGUAUGUCCUUCCUUAUCUUUUCCAUCCUUAAAUUAUAAGAUACGUAGCAGCGCGCAGAUGUAUAUAGAAAUAUUAUCCUUCUUUAUUUCUCUUUUGAAGAGCCUCUGGUUCCUUCCUUAUUUAUCAUGAUCUCUGAGAGACUUCCUGAUACCCAGGAAAUGAAUGAUGUAUAUAAAUAAGAUAGAUUGGAUGUAAAUCAGCGAGGUGGGACUAUUCAAUAUCGGCCUCAACCUUCCCUUGUAGACACAGGACGUUAGCUUAGUUGGCCUUGAUUUUUGCCUCUUAACCGGGAUAGAUGGGCCUCAACUUUCCCUUGUACACACAGGAUGUUAGCUUAGUUGGCCUUGAUUUUUGCCUCUUAACCGGGAUAGAUGGGCCGGAUUUUCUGGACCAUGACACAUGGGUUGGUUCGUUCGCUCGGCCUCGCUGGCUGACGAAGGAAACUGACGUACGAAAUAGCGGACGGACGAAACGGACGAAAAUCAGGGCGUAAGAAGCGUUUCGUGCUUUAUUAUUAGGUAAAGAUGUGUAGGUCCUGUUGUUGUCCAAUAGAGACAUAUCACCUGGAACCAUAAAUAUCUAGUGGUGAUACUGUUGAAACUUGAAACUGGAGCGAGUUAUUUGGUGUGACUCAACAUGUCAUACCAAUAUGGUGCCUAGAGCAGCUUAUCUUCUUAUGUCUUAUUAUUUGGCACAAACCAAACUUUAUUAUUUUAAGUAUUCACGUUUCUAAAGACAAAUUGUUUCGUAUUCUGCUUCCGUGGGUUUCAUUGUAUAUGCUUGCCGUGUGUGUUAAAAUUUCAGUUAAAAAUAGCAAAUUCAGGCAUAUGUCAUGUUUCGAAUCUGGCAACGUCCAAUUUGAAUUAUUGUCGUCCUCUUUAUCUCUUCUAGAUUUUUUUUUGCGGAAAUCUCUUCUUGAUUUUAGAUUCAUCAACCAGGGUAUCAUUUCCAACCGUCAGUGUCCUAGCUGGAGAUCACUUCCUUUUUUUGCGUAUGUCCUUCCUUAUCUUUUCCAUCCUUAAAUUAUAAGAUACGUAGCAGCGCGCACAUGUAUAUAAAAAUAUUAUCCUUCUUUAUUUCUCUUGUGAAGAGUCUCUGGUUCCUUCCUUAUUUACCAUGAUCUCUGAGAGACUUCCUGAUACCCAGGAAAUGAAUGAUGUAUAUAAAUAAGAUAGAUUGGAUGUAAAUCAGCUAGGUGGGACUAGUCAAUAUCGGCCUCAACCUUCCCUUGUAGACACAGGACGUUAGCUUAGUUGACCUUGAUUUUUGCUUCUUAACCGGGAUAGAUGGGCCUCAACUUUCCCUUGUACACACAGGACGUUAGCUUAGUUGGCCUUGAUUUUUGCCUCUUAACCGGGAUAGAUGGGCCGGUUUUCUGGACCAUGACACAUGGGUUGGUUCGUUCGCUCGGCCUCGCUGGCUAACGAAGGAAACUGACGUACGAAAUAGCGGACGGAUGAAACGGACGAAAAUUAGGGCGUAAGAAGCGUUUCGUGCUUUAUUAUUAGGUAAAGAUGUGUAGGUCCUGUUGUUGUCCAAUAGAGACAUAUCACCUGGAACCAUAAAUAUCUAGUGGUGAUACUGUUGAAACUUGAAACUGGAGCGAGUUAUUUGGUGUGGCUCAACAUGUCAUAGCAAUAUGGUGCCUAGAGCAGCUUAUCUUCUUAUGUCUUAUUAUUUGGCACAAACCAAACUUCAUUAUAUUAAGUAUUCACGUUUCUAAAGACAAAUUGUUUCGUAUUCUGUCUCCGUGGGUUUCAUUGUAUAUGCUUUCCAUGUGUGUUAAAAAUUCAGUUAAAAAUAGCAAAUUCAGGCACAUGUCAUGUUUCGAAUCUGGCAACGUGCAAUUUGAAUUACUGUCGUCCUCUUUAUCUCUUCUAGAUUUUUUUUGCGGAAAUCUCUUCUAG